Molecule: ribosomal RNA, 492 nt
Filed under: uncultured bacterium
Lineage: Bacteria
Description: partial 16S ribosomal RNA
Rfam family: Bacterial small subunit ribosomal RNA
Source: RNAcentral
AGUGAACGCUGGCGGUAGGCCUAACACAUGCAAGUCGAACGGCAGCACAGUAAGAUCUUGCUCUUACGGGUGGCGACUGGCGGACGGGUGAGGAAUACAUCGGAAUCUACUUUUUCGUGGGGGAUAACGUAGGGAAACUUACGCUAAUACCGCAUACGACCUACGGGUGAAAGCAGUGGAUCUUCGGACCUUUCGCGUUUGUUUUAGCUGAUGUCGCAUUAGCUAGUUGGCGGGGUAAAGGCCCACCAAGGCGACGAUCCGUAGCUGGUCUGAGAGGAUGAUCAGCCACACUGGAACUGAGACACGGUCCAGACUCCUACGGGAGGCAGCAGUGGGGAAUAUUCGACAAUGGGCGAAAGCCUGAUCCAGCCAUACCGCGUGAGUGAAGAAGGCCUUCGGGUUGUAAAGCCCUUUUGUUGGGAAAGAAAAGCAGCAGGUUAAUACACCGAUGUUCUGACGGUACCCAAAGAAUAAGCACCGGCUAACUUCGUG